CAACGUGGGUAACCUGCCCAAGAGAUCGGGAUAACACCUGGAAACAGAUGCUAAUACCGGAUAACAACAGAUGAUGCCUAUCAACUGUUUAAAAGAUGGUUCUGCUAUCACUCUUGGAUGGACCUGCGGUGCAUUAGCUAGUUGGUAGGGUAACGGCCUACCAAGGCGAUGAUGCAUAGCCGAGUUGAGAGACUGAUCGGCCACAUUGGGACUUAGACACGGCCCAAACUCCUACGGGAGGCAGCAGGG
This 249-nucleotide ribosomal RNA is filed under the name uncultured Lactobacillus sp. Its description in RNAcentral is "partial 16S ribosomal RNA". It matches the Rfam family "Bacterial small subunit ribosomal RNA", at positions 113 to 354 of the family's 1533-position model. Lineage: Bacteria; Bacillati; Bacillota; Bacilli; Lactobacillales; Lactobacillaceae. The record is from RNAcentral.